AGUGAACGCUGGCGGUAGGCCUAACACAUGCAAGUCGAACGGCAGCACAGGAGAGCUUGCUCUCUGGGUGGCGAGUGGCGGACGGGUGAGGAAUACAUCGGAAUCUACUCUGUCGUGGGGGAUAACGUAGGGAAACUUACGCUAAUACCGCAUACGACCUACGGGUGAAAGCAGGGGAUCUUCGGACCUUGCGCGAUUGAAUGAGCCGAUGUCGGAUUAGCGAGUUGGCGGGGUAAAGUCCCACCAAGGCGACGAUCCGUAGCUGGUCUGAGAGGAUGCUCAGCCACACUGGAACUGAGACACGGUCCAGACUCCUACGGGAGGCAGCAGUGGGGAAUAUUGGACAAUGGGCGCAAGCCUGAUCCAGCCAUACCGCGUGGGUGAAGAAGGCCUUCGGGUUGUAAAGCCCUUUUGUUGGGAAAGAAAUCCAGCUGGCUAAUACCCGGUUGGGAUGACGGUACCCAAAGAAUAAGCACCGGCUAACUUCGUGCCAGCCGCCGCCGUAA
RNAcentral lists this ribosomal RNA (506 nucleotides) under uncultured bacterium. Its description in RNAcentral is "partial 16S ribosomal RNA". It matches the Rfam family "Bacterial small subunit ribosomal RNA", at positions 29 to 523 of the family's 1533-position model. The record is from RNAcentral.